GCCUGAAAGCCCUUAGAACAAAUGCACACUGGGCUGAGAAGCCUCCUCUGAGAUGGUUUAUACGCGUCGAGAUGUGACUUCACGAGAGCACCUCUGGGCUUCUCCAGUGACUACAGGAACCACUCACAAAAUUUAAAUUUGCUGGGCCUUUUUCAAGCAAGAAAAGGUGCUGAGUGCUAAGAAGAGAGGCCCAGACAUAAGAUGCAAACAAGUACCCCUCAGUGCUCUUCUACAGACCUCACAAAUGCCUGGCCUGCACACAUCAGAUACAUUCAGCACUGGGAAUAUAGCAAGGAACAAGUCAGAC
Molecule: non-coding RNA, 307 nt
Organism: Peromyscus maniculatus bairdii (prairie deer mouse)
Lineage: Eukaryota; Metazoa; Chordata; Mammalia; Rodentia; Cricetidae
Source: RefSeq, a predicted model, not a curated record